This 253-nucleotide ribosomal RNA is filed under the name uncultured bacterium. Its description in RNAcentral is "partial 16S ribosomal RNA". It matches the Rfam family "Bacterial small subunit ribosomal RNA", at positions 524 to 776 of the family's 1533-position model. The record is from RNAcentral.
UACGAGUGGAGCGAGCGUUGUUCGGAAUCACUGGGCGUAAAGCGUGCGCAGGCGGUCAUGUAAGUCAGGAGUGAAAUCCCAGAGCUUAACUCUGGAAUGGCUCUUGAAACUGCAUGACUAGAAUCCCGGAGAGGUUGGCGGAAUUCUCAGUGUAGAGGUGAAAUUCGCAGAUAUUGAGAGGAACACCAGUGGCGUAAGCGGCCAACUGGACGGGUAUUGACGCUCAGGCACGAAAGCGUGGGGAUCAAACAGG